CGCUGACAGUUUCUAAUUUCAUAUAUAUCUUCACUCAGGCCCGUCCAUUUGGGCUGCUUUUGUUGUAAUGUUUCCUUGUUAGAAAGGAGUUUGUGUUGUGGACAAUUGUUUCUGGAAGGAGGACUUAGCUUUGUAAUAACUCAACCCAGAAAAGGGAAAGGAAUACAACCAUGGUGUUUUAUGAAAGAAUGAUUGAAGACUGCGGGCAGAGCGGUGACAACAUGGCAGAUAGAAGGCAACUGUUUGUCGAGAUGAGGGCUCAAGACUUGGAUUCCAUACGAUUAUCAACAUACAGAACAGCCUGCAAACUCAGAUUUGUGCAAAAGAAAUGCAACUUGCAUUUGGUUGAUAUUUGGAAUGUCAUUGAGGCUUUUCGAGAGAACGGCCUCAACACCAUGGACCUCAAUGCUGAUCUCUCUGUGGCUCGUCUGGAAAUGGUACUGUCCACCAUCUUUUACCAGCUGAACAAACGCAUGCCCACCACCCACCAGAUCAACGUGGAGCAGUCCAUCAGCCUGCUGCUCAACUUCCUGCUGGCAGCCUACGACCCCGAGGGCCAUGGCAAGAUAUCUGUCUUUGUUGUGAAGAUGGCCCUAGCAACCAUCUGUGGUGGGAAGAUUCUGGAUAAAUUAAGAUAUAUUUUUUCACAGAUAUCAGAUUCCGCUGGAAUAAUGGUGUAUUCACAGUUCGACCAAUUUCUGAGGGAGGUUCUCAAAUUACCGAUGGCGGUUUUUGAGGGACCUUCUUUUGGUUACACAGAACAAGCUGCAAGAACCUGCUUUGCACAGCAGAAAAAGGUCUCCCUCAACACAUUCCUCGAUACGUUGAUGUCAGACCCGCCCCCUCAGUGUCUGGUGUGGUUGCCGCUCAUGCAUCGGCUCGCCAACGUGGAGAACGUCUUUCACCCGGUCGAGUGCUCCUAUUGCCAUACUGAGAGUAUGAUGGGCUUCCGCUACCGCUGCCAGCAAUGUCAUAAUUACCAGCUCUGUCAGGACUGCUUCUGGAGGGGGCAUGCCAGCGGUUCCCAUAGCAACCAGCACCAAAUGAAGGAGUAUACGUCAUGGAAAUCCCCUGCUAAGAAGUUAUCCCAUGCACUCAGUAAGUCACUGAGCUGUGCAUCCAGCAGAGAGCCUCUUCACCCCUUGUUUCUCGAAAUGCCAGAGAAACCUCUCAACCUAGCUCAUAUUGUGCCACCAAGACCGGUGAACAUCACCAAUGACUACUCACUCUCCCACUCCAUGCCUACAUCAGGGAACCCUUACUCCACCAAAAACAAGAAUAAUGAUGUUGAGCAAAGAAAGCCCCUGACUGGGGCUGCUCCCCAUCUGUUGAAAGGGAGAGGGUUGAACUACAACCUCGAUGUUGCUGAUAGACUUGCUGACGAACAUGUUCUCAUUGGCCUCUAUGUGAAUCUACUCCAAAACAACCCCAAAACAUGUUUGCUGGAGAGCAGUAACCAUCAGGAUGAAGAGCACAGUCUCAUCGCCCGCUAUGCUGCUAGACUGGCUGCUGAUGCUGCGGCUCAACAGCAGAGGGUCCCCACAGACCUCCCCUGCUCUCUGGAUGCCAACAAACAGCAGAGGCAGCUCAUUGCUGAGCUCGAGAGCAAAAACAGAGAGAUCCUGCAGGAAAUCCAGCGGCUGCGCCUCCAGCAUGAGGAGGCCUCCCAGCCGCCUCCUGACAGGGGUCAGCAGAACCCCACUCUGCUGGCUGAGCUACGACUUCUCAGGCAACGCAAAGAUGAGCUUGAACAAAGAAUGUCUACUCUGCAGGAGAGUCGCAGGGAGCUCAUGGUGCAGCUGGAGCAGCUAAUGAUGCUUCUCAAGCUGGAGGAGGAACGGAAACAAGCUACUCAGGGUCCCGGCUCUCCACGCUCUUCCCCCAGCCACACCAUCAGCCGGCCAAUCCCCACACCAAUCCACUCGGACUCCGCCGGCACGACCCCGACUCACACACCUCAGGACUCACUCAUGGGCGUGGGAGGGGAUGUUCAGGAGGCCUUCGCUCAGGGUCCAAGGAGAAAUCUGAGAAAUGACCUGCUCAUUGCUGCUGACUCCAUCACCAACACAAUGUCGUCACUGGUUAAGGAACUCAAUUCAGAGGGUGGAAGUGAGACUGAGAGCACUGUGGAUUCAGACUUCGGACGCGGUGACCUGUUGGCCACAACCUCUUCAGAUCCCUUCAUCACCUAUAAACCAAGGAGCGCCGGCGCUGCAGAGGAGGAGAGCUUUGAGAACGACCUGGAGCAGCAGCUGGAGGACGAGCUCAAGUUGGAGGAGCUAAUGAAGCACAGGCAGGAGCCAGACAAAACCUGCAUGUUCUAAUUCUAACCUGCUGUAUGUGCUGUGGUGGUGUUCAUGUUGUGGUGCAGGUGACUCUGCAGCAGUGACUGUGUUACUGGUGAGCAAUACGUAAAGCAACAAUAGUAGGAGACACUGGAUGGGACAACACUGGGCCGACAGUACAGAGCACUGAAGAUAAGAAGAAUUUAAGUUGAAAAAAACUGCUAAAUCCAACCAUAGAAUACGUUUAUGUAAAGAUAUAUAUUUUUAACCAACCACAUAUUUAAGGUAAUACUGUGAGCUGAUGUAAAGAGAUUAAUUACUGAGCUGUCUAUUAUACCACAGGUGCCAUAAAAACCACAUGAUUUUGGGAAUUUUUUCUUAAUUUUUAUCCUUUUUCUAUGAGUUAUCUAACAAAUGUACAACAGUACUGUUUGUACAGGGUGACAAACUUGACCCCUUCAAAUUGUCACGUCUCUGAAUGCAGUGAACCAGGUUUAAGGGUUUGUUUGUCAUCUGAUUUAUGUUAGAAACCUGAGAUUAUGUUGGAGUUGAAGAUGAUAAAAUUUGCAAUCUUUUUGUAAAUGUAUAACUCUGGCCUGGUUACUAUGAACAGAUUUUAUCACUAUUCCAUAGAUUUCUUACUGUUGCUGUCGAGUGGCUUUUGUAUUGUUUUUUGACUUGUUUUUGGAGCAGGCCGACUGCUAUUGAUCAGAUAAGUUUGUUUUAUUGAUACAUUAGUAAUAAUAAUGCACACUGCCUUAGCUGAUUGGAUGACCUCUCAAAGGAGUUCAUUCAAACUGUCAAUGCAGCAUGUAGCUAACAACAAAACACACCUGUUCAGCAGCAGUGCUAGUUGUUUUCACAGGAAAAAUGAGGUGAAACUCAUGUAAUCUGAUGCUGGGAAGUGAUUUUGUCUGCAGAGAGACUUGGUCUGCAAAUAUGUACACUGUCUACAUAUAAAUGGUCAAUAAAAUAUAAGAUAUAGAUGGACUGAAAGUGUUUUAAAACGCAGUGAAAAAGAUGUAACACAGAGACCUCCAAAUUGCUCAAAUUCAAAGGUUUACAUUGGUAAGGGAUUUGAACAAAUUGUGUUUACUAUCAAUGGUUUAUGAAUUAAGGUUCGAUCAAAGAUCAUUUGCCAUUGUUUCAUUUGUUAGCAUCAAUGCUCUCACACAAAUCUGUGCAUGACUUGCACACCAAGAUACACACUCAUGAUGUAUUUUCUGAGUGUGCGUGAAACUUUACUCAGUCACUUUGAGAGAAGUGGCAAGCCAAUCUAAAAUCAUAAAUGUGUGAAAUAUAUCUAGUUUGAUUUUUGAGCAAGUUCAUAGCAGUGAUUUUGCAUGGUGGUGAUGCAUAAUAAAGUGUUGACACAAUAUCACAA
Molecule: RNA transcript, 3669 nt
Organism: Seriola aureovittata
Lineage: Eukaryota; Metazoa; Chordata; Actinopteri; Carangiformes; Carangidae
Gene: dtna
Gene name: dystrobrevin, alpha
Exons: 23
Source: RefSeq, a predicted model, not a curated record